This 67-nucleotide ribosomal RNA is filed under the name Fusarium oxysporum. Its description in RNAcentral is "partial 28S ribosomal RNA". The record is from RNAcentral. Lineage: Eukaryota; Fungi; Ascomycota; Sordariomycetes; Hypocreales; Nectriaceae.
AACUUCUGAAUGUUGACCUCGGAUCAGGUAGGAAUACCCGCUGAACUUAAGCAUAUCAAUAAGCCGG